This 67-nucleotide microRNA precursor is filed under the name Bombyx mori (domestic silkworm). Its description in RNAcentral is "mir-2774 microRNA precursor family". It matches the Rfam family "mir-2774 microRNA precursor family". The record is from Rfam by way of RNAcentral. Lineage: Eukaryota; Metazoa; Arthropoda; Insecta; Lepidoptera; Bombycidae.
ACAACAUUGAAAUCGUCGUUCUACCGAGUAAUAUCACACGCUUGGUGGAAGAUCUUUCUUUCGUCGU